CCGCCCCGUGGUCAGGCGACGCCGGCCGCCGCCGGCUCCCGCCCGGGGGCGCCCGCGUUCGACUCGUCCGGGCCGGGC
RNAcentral lists this transfer RNA (78 nucleotides) under Micrococcus luteus. Its description in RNAcentral is "tRNA-Gly(ccc)". Lineage: Bacteria; Bacillati; Actinomycetota; Actinomycetes; Micrococcales; Micrococcaceae. The record is from RNAcentral.